RNAcentral lists this transfer RNA (110 nucleotides) under Pseudozyma flocculosa. Its description in RNAcentral is "Anthracocystis flocculosa transfer RNA-Pseudo(TTC)". It matches the Rfam family "tRNA". From Rfam's summary of the family: Transfer RNA (tRNA) molecules are approximately 80 nucleotides in length. Their secondary structure includes four short double-helical elements and three loops (D, anti-codon, and T loops). Lineage: Eukaryota; Fungi; Basidiomycota; Ustilaginomycetes; Ustilaginales; Ustilaginaceae. The record is from RNAcentral.
UCCCAGCUCGUCUAGUGGUCAAGAUACGGCACUUUCAUCCCAGUCAACGCUCCCCGAGGAGGAGGCGACGAUGUUCUGCUGAGACCGGGGUUCGAUUCCCCGGCCGGGAG